Molecule: ribosomal RNA, 433 nt
Filed under: uncultured bacterium
Lineage: Bacteria
Description: partial 16S ribosomal RNA
Rfam family: Bacterial small subunit ribosomal RNA
Source: RNAcentral
AACGAACGCUGGCGGCAUGCCUAACACAUGCAAGUCGAACGAGACCUUCGGGUCUAGUGGCGCACGGGUGCGUAACGCGUGGGAACCUGCCCUUAGGUUCGGAAUAACUCCCCGAAAGGGGUGCUAAUACCGGCUAAUGUCUUCGGACCAAAGAUUUAUCGCCUUUGGAUGGGCCCGCGUUGGAUUAGCUAGUUGGUAGGGUAAAAGCCUACCAAGGCGACGAUCCAUAGCUGGUCUGAGAGGAUGAUCAGCCACACUGGGACUGAGACACGGCCCAGACUCCUACGGGAGGCAGCAGUGGGGAAUAUUGGACAAUGGGCGAAAGCCUGAUCCAGCAAUGCCGCGUGAGUGAUGAAGGCCUUAGGGUUGUAAAGCUCUUUUACCCGGGAUGAUAAUGACAUUACCGGGAGAAUAAGCUCCGGCUAACUCCGUG